UCUGAUUCAGACAAAGACACACAGUUUGUGUUUGGGACAAUGGGUAGGGACGGGAACAGACUGCCCCCAGCGCGCCAGGCUGGAGGUCCCUUGUCACCAGUGGGUCAAUGGCCGGAAGCCCAGCUCCAGCCCUACAAUGCUAUAACAGGUCACCCCACCCUUACCAGUACCCUCACCCACACCCCACCCCCACUUCCGUCCUCUGUUUCUUCCUCACCUUCAGAGAAAGCUGCAGGGCUCCCUGGGGAACUUCCCAUACCUACUUCAUUGGCUCCCUGCCAGGUGCUCAACCCUCCCUCCCCCUCUGCCCACUUGACCGGGUCAGUCUCCCAGUUAACUUUCUGUCCAGAGAUCCCAGCUGGGGCAGGCCAGGGAGGAAAGGAAGCUGGGUGGAGGGGCUGCAAAAGAGCCUGCUUUUCCUGCUCCCCUCAGUUACUAGAAGCCCAAAUGAGGGACUUGGGAAGAGAGAGGUGGAUUGAGGGUUGGGGCCUCGGACUGGGCUGCCCUGGGCAUAUUUCACCCCCCUAGGACCCCAGGGGAAGUGGGAAUGCUAUCUUUUACCUACCCAACAAUCCUCUUCCUCUGCUUUCAGCAAAUUCAGGGAAGAGAGUCCAGAUCUGAGACUUGUAUCCUCCGGAAAAUAAACACAAAAACCCAGGACAAGUGAGUCCUGGUUAAUGUUACUAUGUCAAUGACAAAUUCAUGAAAACACAAAAACCAUAAAAUUCUAAAUGCAUAGAAUCCAUAGUCAUGGAAUCUUAGCAUCUCAGAAUUCUAGCAUGGUGAAAUCUGAGUUACUAAAUCAGAAAUAUAGAAUUCUGGUAUCACCUAUGUCCAGAUCACAAGGUUAAGUAUCCUUGAAGAGAGAAGUCUUGAGAAGUCAGUUAGUGAAGUCUUUACCUUCAGGUGGAUGUCUACACUAGAGGAUCCCCUACUGGGGAUGGGCAAAAGAGUUCACAUAUGAACUCUAAGCAGGAGGCAGAGAGCUCAGGACACACGAGUUUAGGAUAGGUUAAGAAUCCUGCAAUAACUCAGGCAGAAGACAGACAUCUUCCAUGAGGACACAUUCUUCUUUCCUGAGGAUGAGGGGAGUGGGGUGGGAGGAGGGGGAUACAGAGAGGGGAACUCUAGAAACAAAACAUAGCCCGCAGAAAAAACGAUCAAGUAGCAUAACACACAGCCACAAUGCCUCCAAUUUCUCCACGUUCGGGGUUAACACCAGCCCAGGACAUUGUCAAAGGGAAACCAAGCUGUCGUUCCACCUCGGAGGCCUGGGAGCCUGACACUACUGGGGACUGGAUGGAUGCGGGAGUGGGGUGCUCGGUGCAACUCCCAAGAGCUCCAGAUUCGAGAGACUGCAGGAAUGGUGUGAGCACUUGAUAUAAAAUGCUCUCCAAAUCAGCCUGUAUUCAUAGACAUAGAGAAAUGGCACCUACUGAGUGCCUACUGCAUACCAGACUAAGGGUAUUCACCAAAUUGACAAAAAGAAGAGCCAGCAAUCAUUGGCAAUCAGCCAUUGCCUGCAGUGAGGGAGACCUUGUCUUCUGAGAGGCCUCUAGGCACAAUGUGUCCACAGAACCCAAAAAGUUGCAGGCUGGAAUUCUUGCAGGCAUUUCAGGCCUGAAAUGGGGGCACUUUUACCUGCCUCUGGCAUCCAUCAGCCCGGGCAUCCCUUCUGUACUGGCACUCCAAUGGCAGCUGGAAGCCCAGUGCCUACUCAUUUUCAUAUCAGAGUUCAGCACAAGUUUAUGUUCCGUUCCCAGGUUUUGUUUUACUUAAAAAAAAAAAAAAAAAAAGAGGCAUCAUGUGAUGAAGUGAUGGAUUCUUUCUACGGGA
Long non-coding RNA from Canis lupus familiaris (dog), 1836 nucleotides. RefSeq lists it as uncharacterized. NCBI's taxonomy places the organism in Eukaryota, Metazoa, Chordata, Mammalia, Carnivora, Canidae. The record is from RefSeq and is a predicted model, not a curated record. The transcript is spliced from 3 exons.